Molecule: ribosomal RNA, 459 nt
Filed under: uncultured bacterium
Lineage: Bacteria
Description: partial 16S ribosomal RNA
Rfam family: Bacterial small subunit ribosomal RNA
Source: RNAcentral
CCUACGGGAGGCAGCAGUGAGGAAUAUUGGUCAAUGGGCGCGAGCCUGAACCAGCCAAGUCGCGUGAGGGAAGACGGUCCUAUGGAUUGUAAACCUCUUUUGUCGGGGAGCAAAAGACGCCACGCGUGGCGUUCCGAGAGUACCCGAAGAAAAAGCAUCGGCUACCUCCGUGCCAGCAGCCGCGGUAAUACGGAGGAUGCGAGCGUUAUCCGGAGUUAUUGGGUUUAAAGGGUGCGCAGGGGGAAGAUCACGGCAGCGGUAAACUUGAGAGGCUCAACCUCUUCGAGCCGGUGAAACUGGUUUUCUUGAGUGAGCGAGAAGUAUGCGGAAUGCGUGGUGUAGCGGUGAAAUGCAUAGAUAUAACGCAGAACUCCGAUGGCGAAGGCAGCAUACCGGCGCUCAACUGACGCUCAGGCGCGAAAGUGUGGGUAUCGAACAGGAUUAGAUACCCCUGUAGUC